This 549-nucleotide ribosomal RNA is filed under the name uncultured bacterium. RNAcentral describes it as "partial 16S ribosomal RNA". It matches the Rfam family "Bacterial small subunit ribosomal RNA", at positions 355 to 914 of the family's 1533-position model. The record is from RNAcentral.
UGGGGAAUAUUGCACAAUGGGCGGAAGCCUGAUGCAGCAACGCCGCGUGAGGGAUGACGGCCUUCGGGUUGUAAACCUCUUUUAGCAGGGAAGAAGCGAGAGUGACGGUACCUGCAGAAAAAGCGCCGGCUAACUACGUGCCAGCAGCCGCGGUAAUACGUAGGGCGCAAGCGUUAUCCGGAAUUAUUGGGCGUAAAGAGCUCGUAGGCGGUCUGUCGCGUCUGCUGUGAAAACCCGAGGCUCAACCUCGGGCCUGCAGUGGGUACGGGCAGACUAGAGUGCGGUAGGGGAGAUUGGAAUUCCUGGUGUAGCGGUGGAAUGCGCAGAUAUCAGGAGGAACACCCAUGGCGAAGGCAGAUCUCUGGGCCGUAACUGACGCUGAGGAGCGAAAGGGUGGGGAGCAAACAGGCUUAGAUACCCUGGUAGUCCACCCCGUAAACGUUGGGAACUAGUUGUGGGGACCUUUCCACGGUCUCCGUGACGCAGCUAACGCAUUAAGUUCCCCGCCUGGGGAGUACGGCCGCAAGGCUAAAACUCAAAUGAAUUGAC